RNAcentral lists this transfer RNA (77 nucleotides) under Portunus trituberculatus (swimming crab). RNAcentral's name for it is "tRNA-Leu". It matches the Rfam family "tRNA". From Rfam's summary of the family: Transfer RNA (tRNA) molecules are approximately 80 nucleotides in length. Lineage: Eukaryota; Metazoa; Arthropoda; Malacostraca; Decapoda; Portunidae. The record is from RNAcentral.
CACACGGUAGCUCAGUGGUUAGAGCGCUGGCUUCAGAUGCCAGAGGACCGGGGUUCGAUUCCCCGGCCGGAUGGAGA